GGGGCUAUAGCUCAGCUGGCAGAGCGCUUGGAUCGCACCCAAGAGGUCAGGAGUUCGAAUCUCCUUAGCUACA
This 73-nucleotide transfer RNA is filed under the name Rhodothermales bacterium. Its description in RNAcentral is "tRNA-Ala". It matches the Rfam family "tRNA". Rfam says of the family: Transfer RNA (tRNA) molecules are approximately 80 nucleotides in length. Their secondary structure includes four short double-helical elements and three loops (D, anti-codon, and T loops). The record is from RNAcentral. Lineage: Bacteria; Pseudomonadati; Rhodothermota; Rhodothermia; Rhodothermales.